GCAUGGCUGUCGUCAGCUCGUGUCGUGAGAUGUUCGGUUAAGUCCGCUAACGAGCGCAACCCUCGCUGUAUGUUACAUGUGUCAUACAGGACCGCCGGUAUCAAGCCGGAGGAAGGUGGGGAUGACGUCAAGUCCGCAUGGCCUUUAUGUCCGGGGCUACACACACGCUACAAUGGUCGGUACAAUGGGUUGCUAAGCCGCGAGGUGGAGCCAAUCCCCCAAAGCCGGCCUCAGUUCAGAUUGCAGGCUGCAACUCGCCUGCAUGAAGCUGGAGUUGCUAGUAAACGCGCGUCAGCUAUAGUGCGUUGAAUACGUUCUCGGGCCUU
RNAcentral lists this ribosomal RNA (326 nucleotides) under uncultured Anaerolineaceae bacterium. RNAcentral's name for it is "bacterial SSU rRNA". It matches the Rfam family "Bacterial small subunit ribosomal RNA", at positions 1043 to 1382 of the family's 1533-position model. Lineage: Bacteria; Bacillati; Chloroflexota; Anaerolineae; Anaerolineales; Anaerolineaceae. The record is from RNAcentral.